Molecule: ribosomal RNA, 255 nt
Filed under: Staphylococcus aureus
Lineage: Bacteria; Bacillati; Bacillota; Bacilli; Caryophanales; Staphylococcaceae
Description: partial 16S ribosomal RNA
Rfam family: Bacterial small subunit ribosomal RNA
Source: RNAcentral
ACAUGCAAGUCGAGCGAACGGACGAGAAGCUUGCUUCUCUGAUGUUAGCGGCGGACGGGUGAGUAACACGUGGAUAACCUACCUAUAAGACUGGGAUAACUUCGGGAAACCGGAGCUAAUACCGGAUGAUAUUUUGAACCGCAUGGUUCAAAAGUGAAAGACGGUCUUGCUGUCACUUAUAGAUGGAUCCGCGCUGCAUUAGCUAGUUGGUAAGGUAACGGCUUACCAAGGCAACGAUGCAUAGCCGACCUGAGA